This 684-nucleotide ribosomal RNA is filed under the name Triticum aestivum (bread wheat). RNAcentral describes it as "partial small subunit ribosomal RNA". Lineage: Eukaryota; Viridiplantae; Streptophyta; Magnoliopsida; Poales; Poaceae. The record is from RNAcentral.
AUGGGGAUUAUGGCGCCGCUGGUGGCGUCCGGCGGCGUCGACUUCUACGUCAAGUCGAGGGUGCCCGGAUCUCAUCUUCUACAGAUCGACGGCUACUCGAUCGCUAAACAAGCAACCAACGGCACCAGCUUCAAGUCCUGCCCUUUCACCGUGGGAGGCUACCGUUGGGCCAUCUACCUCUUCCCCAACGGCGACUGGCUGGACAGCGCCGACUUCAUCUCCGUCUUGCUCGCCCUCGACGAGCACGUUAAAGGGCCCAUCAGGGUACAUCUUGAGUUCAGCUUCAUGGACGAGGUCGAGAAGCAGGAUCCCAGGCAUGUUUGCACCAGGCAGGUAGUUGACCUGCAUGGCGGUUACGCCGUGGGCUACCGCAGGUUUAUCGCAAGGGAGGCCAUGGAGAACUCGAAGCAUCUCAAAGGCGACCGCUUCACUAUUCGGUGCGACCUCUUCGUCCUGAAGCACGUCAUUGUCCAGGAGAACCUCCACGCGAGCGGGCAUAGAAAAUGUGAGGCUUGCAACAUCCGAGUGGCGACGAUGGGAGGGCGAGUGCUCGUCCAUGCAUGUUUCUGCGACGUCUGCAACCAUGCUAGCCGCAACGACGCUGCGGCGAAGCAGUGCGCAGGCUGCCAUGGACCCUAUGAAGGGUUCUUCCUGCCACUCCUUUCUACAACAUCAAUUAGCUAG